This 421-nucleotide ribosomal RNA is filed under the name Amazophrynella aff. manaos ABGD cluster 4. RNAcentral describes it as "partial large subunit ribosomal RNA". It matches the Rfam family "Bacterial large subunit ribosomal RNA", at positions 1835 to 2457 of the family's 2925-position model. The record is from RNAcentral. Lineage: Eukaryota; Metazoa; Chordata; Amphibia; Anura; Bufonidae.
CUUGAACCCUAUAAGAGGUCCAGCCUGCCCAGUGAAACAAUUCAACGGCCGCGGUAUCCUAACCGUGCGAAGGUAGCGUAAUCACUUGUUCUCUAAAUCAGGACUAGUAUGAACGGCAUCACGAGGGUUAUACUGUCUCCUUUUUCCAAUUAGUGAAUUUAAUUUUCCCGUGAAGAAGCGGGAAUAAGCCUAUAAGACGAGAAGACCCUAUGGAGCUUUAAACAAUCUAGCAUCUGCCUAUAUUCUUCAUGUUUCAGAACUCUCUAGACCUCCUACAUAAUGACUAGAAGUUUUAGGUUGGGGUGACCGCGGAGUAAAACCCAUCCUCCAUAAUGAAAGAAUUUUAAUUCUUAACCAAGAAAUACCUAUCUAAGUAUUAACACACUGACAUUUAUUGACCCAAUACAAUUGAUCAACGAAC